AUCCGGCUGACGAGUCACGAAUAGGACGAAAUGUACAUCCUGGAU
This 45-nucleotide non-coding RNA is filed under the name Trichobilharzia regenti. The record is from RNAcentral. Lineage: Eukaryota; Metazoa; Platyhelminthes; Trematoda; Strigeidida; Schistosomatidae.